This 2097-nucleotide long non-coding RNA is filed under the name Volvox carteri. Its description in RNAcentral is "long non-coding RNA (VCAR_LNC001597)". The record is from RNAcentral. Lineage: Eukaryota; Viridiplantae; Chlorophyta; Chlorophyceae; Chlamydomonadales; Volvocaceae.
GGGAGAAGAAAAUAUUCCAUGAGGCCUCCCGAAGGGGCUGCCGGAGGAUGUCGUACUGGGUCCCCUUGGCGUAUAUCUCUUGUUGAGAUUCGUAUUCGCUGGUUGGUUCCGCUGGUGGUGCUGGAGGCAUUGCUUCCGCCCUCUCGUCGUUUUCGCGACUGUUUACUCUUAUUAACCCUUAACCACAUUACAGCCAACACAGCCAACACAGCCACCACAAUUUUUCAGAUUUCAGGAAUCGGCACGCCUGAGAUAUUUUUUUGAAGAGACUUUGUUCCGUCUUUCGUUGCUCGUUCCUGACGUCGAUUUGCUCGAAUUCGGUCUUUGUUUUUUUAAGGUGGGUGGGUAGUUUUGCGAGAAUGGAAGGAGUUAAACGAACUGUGUGGUGAUUUCCGCACAGCGGAGUUCAACGAUGGGGCCAGGUAGGAGGGGGAGGUGAGGGAGGGGGAGGAGAGGGAGGGGGGUUCUUGCGAUGGCGUUGUGAGGUUUGAAGGGCGAGAGCGAGAAAGGGAAGAAGAUGCGUACGACACCCAAGUGCGUGCUCCCGUACUUGUCGCACUCGUACUCAUACUCCUACAGAUCUGUUGAUUCGUCCAUGUCGUCAGGACGUGGAUGAAGCAGCAGUUAAACGGUUGUAGGUUAACAUGGUUGUGGAAGAGGAUUGCACUGCGGCGGGGGUAGUUAUGGUUGAUUGUUGAUGCAGUUGGCAGUUGAUGCGCUGAUGUGACAGUGCGGAUUUAUUUGCGGACCCUGCUACUAUGUUGGAAUGGCUGGCUGAAGGAUAGGCGUUUGUGGAUAAGGGAGGCUUGUCAUAGCUGCUGUACAAAACGUAUCUUGUUUGUUGUACGGCUGUACGGAAAAAGCGUGGAAAUGCAGGGGGUUAUGCGGGUUAUACUUGUUAAGGUGGACAUGAAAAAGGCCGAAGGGUGGGUCGGCGGCAUUUUGCGCCAGUCAGGCACCUUGUGCGUAUGUACGGAUUUUAUGGUCCUGUACGAAUGUACGGAAUAAUGUAUAUAUUCUUCUCGUCUCGGGCGCGAACCUGCCUCCAUUUCUCCCAUACCAAUACGCGUGUGUUUGUAUGUGUUUUGUUCUGUGCGCCCAAAUGUGGCAUAUACGGCAAAUUAGGGUGCAAAGAUUUUCGUAAGGCCCCUUUCAAGUCUCUCAGCUUGCACGCAUUCCCCGUCUUAAGACGUACAUACAUACAUAUGGCAUGCUGCAUACUUAGAUACAUACAUAGUUAAAUAUGGAGUGUAUAUAAGUUAGAAACCUAGUCGAGUGGAUGGAUGAAUGGAUGGAUAGCUGUUUGGGGUGAUUACAGACGGCCGACGUACCGUACGACGGUUUUGCGGAGUGUGUACACACGCGCACACACCGUCCAUUGGACAUGGAAGGGGGAGGGGAAGGGGGGGAUGCGAGUGAGGUGCGGGGCCGACAAUGUUCCAGCCUGGUGUGUAUUUUUGUACGGCUUUUCGCCGUACUUUCACUCCAGGAUGCCUUUCCCUUCCCCCCUCCUUAACCAGAGAGAUGGCGCAGAGAUGUCUUGAUGGCCUCAGAGCCCCCUUACUGUGGUGGACGCCGUUCUCCUUGUUUUCUCCUUGUUUCUCUUCCUCCUCAUGGUGAUGAUGGUAAUGAUGGCGAUGAUGGUGAUGAUGGUGGCAAGAAGGGCAGAGGUGGUUGUGAGGAGGGUGGGGGGGGCGGGGGGGAAGGUCCUCUCCCCCCCCACAUACACACACCCCUCUUGGGUGGUUUGUUUUGUCCAAAGGCAUGUGUACGUCCACGCAGGUGCAGGUGUGUGUAUGUACGGCUGUUUCCAUUAUUUACCUAAAUUCAGAGAAGAUUUCUUCUCCACUGCUUUUUGGCUUGUUGGCCUCUCCGCCCCCGGAUGUAGUCGGCCUGUGUGCACAUAUUGUGUGUGAGGAGGAGGGAGGGAGUGUUGGAAUGUGACCGACACUCGCACAUAAUAUGAUACCAGUGUGAAAGGUGACGGCGGUAGUAAUGGGCCCGAGGGGGGUCCGUGGCGCUCUUCGCUGCUUCCAACGGAGGGAGCUUUUAGCUUGUCGUGGCGCCCAUCUGGACGCGACCCGGACUCUGUCCCNN